This 214-nucleotide ribosomal RNA is filed under the name Parahaliea aestuarii. RNAcentral describes it as "partial 16S ribosomal RNA". It matches the Rfam family "Bacterial small subunit ribosomal RNA", at positions 1 to 217 of the family's 1533-position model. Lineage: Bacteria; Pseudomonadati; Pseudomonadota; Gammaproteobacteria; Cellvibrionales; Halieaceae. The record is from RNAcentral.
UAAACUGAAGAGUUUGAUCAUGGCUCAGAUUGAACGCUGGCGGCAGGCCUAACACAUGCAAGUCGAGCGCGAAAGCCCUUUCGGGGGUGAGUAGAGCGGCGGACGGGUGAGUAACGCGUAGGAAUCUACCUGGUAGUGGGGGACAACAUGGGGAAACUCAUGCUAAUACCGCAUACGCCCUACGGGGGAAAGCGGGGGACCUUCGGGCCUCGCG